This 253-nucleotide ribosomal RNA is filed under the name uncultured bacterium. RNAcentral describes it as "partial 16S ribosomal RNA". It matches the Rfam family "Bacterial small subunit ribosomal RNA", at positions 524 to 776 of the family's 1533-position model. The record is from RNAcentral.
UACGUAGGGUCCGAGCGUUGUCCGGAAUUACUGGGCGUAAAGCGUGCGCAGGCGGCCCGCGAGGUGUCACGUGAAAGCCCCGGGCUCAACCCGGGAGGGUCGUGGCAAACCGGCGGGCUUGAGGCCGGUAGAGGUGGGUGGAACUCCUGGUGGAGUGGUGAAAUGCGUAGAGAUCAGGAAGAACACCCGUGGCGAAGGCGGCCCACUGGGCCGGUACUGACGCUGAGGAGCGAAAGCCAGGGGAGCAAACGGG